Molecule: unclassified non-coding RNA, 267 nt
Filed under: fungal sp.
Lineage: Eukaryota; Fungi
Description: partial internal transcribed spacer region
Rfam family: Eukaryotic small subunit ribosomal RNA (bases 1-46)
Source: RNAcentral
AAGUCGUAACAAGGUUUCCGUAGGUGAACCUGCGGAAGGAUCAUUACAUUCAGUAGCUUGCUACUGUUAGGGAGGCCGGUUAGUCUGUAUAGUAUCACUACUGAUGAGCAGCACGGCCUUCUGUCUGUACCCUUGUCUUUUGCGCACUCAUGUUUCCUCGGCUGGGUUUACGCCCGCCGGCUGGACAACUCUAUAACCUUUUUAAUUUUCAAUCAGCGUCUGAAAACCUAAUAAUUACAACUUUCAACAACGGAUCUCUUGGUUCUG